This 89-nucleotide non-coding RNA is filed under the name Desulfonispora thiosulfatigenes. RNAcentral describes it as "c-di-GMP sequence". It matches the Rfam family "c-di-GMP-I riboswitch aptamer". From Rfam's summary of the family: GEMM was predicted in a large-scale screen for bacterial structured RNA regulatory elements. Genes associated with GEMM are involved in a diverse array of functions, including chemotaxis regulation, signal transduction, secretion and chitin. Lineage: Bacteria; Bacillati; Bacillota; Clostridia; Eubacteriales; Peptococcaceae. The record is from RNAcentral. RNAcentral also lists the same sequence under 1 other name.
AGAAUAAAAGGGCAAAACUAACGAAAGUUAGUGACGCAAAGCUAUGGGUCUAAAUCUAUAUUUAAAGAUAUGAUUGCCAGGUUGCCAUG